Molecule: ribosomal RNA, 497 nt
Filed under: uncultured bacterium
Lineage: Bacteria
Description: partial 16S ribosomal RNA
Rfam family: Bacterial small subunit ribosomal RNA
Source: RNAcentral
GAUGAACGCUGGCGGCGUGCCUAAUACAUGCAAGUCGAGCGAACGGACGAGAAGCUUGCUUCUCUGAUGUUAGCGGCGGACGGGUGAGUAACACGUGGAUAACCUACCUAUAAGACUGGUAUAACUUCGGGAAACCGGAGCUAAUACCGGAUAAUAUUUUGAACCGCAUGGUUCAAAAGUGAAAGACGGUCUUGCUGUCACUUAUAGAUGGAUCCGCGCUGCAUUAGCUAGUUGGUAAGGUACCGGCUUACCAAGGCAACGAUGCAUAGCCGACCUGAGAGGGUGAUCGGCCACACUGGAACUGGGACACGGUCCAGACUCCUACGGGAGGCGGCAGUAGGGAAUCUUCCGCAAUGGGCGAAAGCCUGACGGAGCAACGCCGCGUGAGUGAUGAAGGUCUUCGGAGCGUAAAACUCUGUUAUUAGGGAAGAACAGAUGUGUAAGUAACUGUGCACAGCUUGACGGUACCUAAUCAGAAAGCCACGGCUAACUACGUG